CAGGCUUAACACAUGCAAGUCGAGGGGUAACAUAGAGAAGCUUGCUUUUCUGAUGACGACCGGCGCACGGGUGCGUAACGCGUAUAGAAUCUACCUUAUACUGAGGGAUAGCCUUUGGAAACGAAGAUUAACACCUCAUAGUAUAUCGACUCGGCAUCGAGAUGAUAUUAAAGGUUACGGUAUAAGAUGACUAUGCGUUCUAUUAGCUAGAUGGUGUGGUAACGGCACACCAUGGCUACGAUAGAUAGGGGCCCUGAGAGGGGGAUCCCCCACACUGGUACUGAGACACGGACCAGACUCCUACGGGAGGCAGCAGUGAGGAAUAUUGGACAAUGGAGGCAACUCUGAUCCAGCCAUGCCGCGUGCAGGAUGACUGCCCUAUGGGUUGUAAACUGCUUUUAUACAGGAAGAAACCUCUCCACGUGUGGAGAGCUGACGGCACUGUAAGAAUAAGGAUCGGCUAACUCCGUGCCAGCAGCCGCGGUAAUACGGAGGAUCCAAGCGUUAUCCGGAAUCAUUGGGUUUAAAGGGUCCGUAGGUGGAUAAUUAAGUCAGAGGUGAAAGUUUGCGGCUCAACCGUAAAAUUGCCUUUGAUACUGGUUAUCUUGAAUCAUUGUGAAGUAGUUAGAAUAUGUAGUGUAGCGGUGAAAUGCAUAGAUAUUACAUAGAAUACCAAUUGCGAAGGCAGAUUACUAACAAUGUAUUGACACUGAUGGACGAAAGCGUGGGGAGCGAACAGGAUUAGAUACCCUGGUAGUCCACGCCGUAAACGAUGGUCACUAGCUGUUCGAGCUUCGGUUUGAGUGGCUAAGCGAAAGUGAUAAGUGACCCACCUGGGGAGUACGUUCGCAAGAAUGAAACUCAAAGGAAUUGACGGGGGCCCGCACAAGCGGUGGAGCAUGUGGUUUAAUUCGAUGAUACGCGAGGAACCUUACCAGGGCUUAAAUGUAAAUUGACAGGUUUAGAGAUAGACUUUUCUUCGGACAAUUUACAAGGUGCUGCAUGGUUGUCGUCAGCUCGUGCCGUGAGGUGU
This 1033-nucleotide ribosomal RNA is filed under the name uncultured bacterium. RNAcentral describes it as "bacterial SSU rRNA". It matches the Rfam family "Bacterial small subunit ribosomal RNA", at positions 43 to 1075 of the family's 1533-position model. The record is from RNAcentral.